Lycium ferocissimum is the source of this 194-nucleotide small nuclear RNA. RefSeq annotates it as U2 spliceosomal RNA. The record is from RefSeq and is a predicted model, not a curated record. The transcript has a single exon. Lineage: Eukaryota; Viridiplantae; Streptophyta; Magnoliopsida; Solanales; Solanaceae.
AUACCUUAAUUGGCCUUUUGGCUAAGAUCAAGUGUAGUGUUUGUUCUUAUUAGUUUAAUAUUUGAUAUGGGUUAUCGAUUCACAUAAUAUUAACUUAAUUUUUAAGGGUAGAGUCUGUUAAAGUAGCUUGCUAUCUGGGCUUUUGAGUGUAGCUCAUGCGUUGCACUACAAAGACGUGCAGUAGCUCAUGUGUU